This 216-nucleotide long non-coding RNA is filed under the name Citrus sinensis (sweet orange). Its description in RNAcentral is "long non-coding RNA (CSIN_LNC005643)". Lineage: Eukaryota; Viridiplantae; Streptophyta; Magnoliopsida; Sapindales; Rutaceae. The record is from RNAcentral.
UAUUGCAUGAUUAUCGUUCAUGUCAACGUGACAAUGCAAAGGGACCAUCAAAAUAAAGAGUGUGACAUUCUUUUAGCACCAAAAUAUACUAAUGAGAUUUUAUUCGUGUAAUAAGUACAGAUCCACUCACAUAAUUAAGGAAGACUACCAGAUCAAUAUUGCUAGGUACAUCUUAUAGCAGCUAUCUCAGGUAAUAAACAAACAAAACUGAAUGAC